RNAcentral lists this small RNA (28 nucleotides) under Bombyx mori (domestic silkworm). Its description in RNAcentral is "ovarian small RNA-22952". Lineage: Eukaryota; Metazoa; Arthropoda; Insecta; Lepidoptera; Bombycidae. The record is from RNAcentral.
UAGUAUGGUAUAUUAGAGUUACGGCUUA